UACGAGGGGGGCGAGCGUUGUUCGGAAUUAUUGGGCGUAAAGGGCGCGUAGGUGGUUCGGUAAGUCGGAUGUGAAAUCUCCAGGCUCAACCUGGAGGGGUCAUUCGAUACUGCCGUGACUAGAGGUCGGUAGGGGAGUGUGGAAUUCCUGGUGGAGCGGUGAAAUGCGCAGAUAUCAGGAGGAACACCCGUAGCGAAGGCGGCACUCUGGGCCGAUACUGACACUGAGGAGCGAAAGCGUGGGGAGCGAACAGG
Molecule: ribosomal RNA, 254 nt
Filed under: uncultured bacterium
Lineage: Bacteria
Description: partial 16S ribosomal RNA
Rfam family: Bacterial small subunit ribosomal RNA
Source: RNAcentral